This 412-nucleotide ribosomal RNA is filed under the name uncultured bacterium. Its description in RNAcentral is "bacterial SSU rRNA". It matches the Rfam family "Bacterial small subunit ribosomal RNA", at positions 368 to 769 of the family's 1533-position model. The record is from RNAcentral.
ACAAUGGACGCAAGUCUGAUCCAGCCAUGCCGCGUGCGGGAAGAAGGCCUUCGGGUUGUAAACCGCUUUUGUCAGGGAAGAAAUCUUCUGGGUUAAUACCUCGGGAGGAUGACGGUACCUGAAGAAUAAGCACCGGCUAACUACGUGCCAGCAGCCGCGGUAAUACGUAGGGUGCAAGCGUUAAUCGGAAUUACUGGGCGUAAAGCGUGCGCAGGCGGUUUUGUAAGACAGAGGUGAAAAUCCCCGGGCUCAACCUGGGAACUGCCUUUGUGACUGCAAGGCUUGAGUGCGGCAGAGGGGGAUGGAAUUCCGCGUGUAGCAGUGAAAUGCGUAGAUAUGCGGAGGAACACCGAUGGCGAAGGCAAUCCCCCUGGGCCUGCACUGACGCUCAUGCACGAAAGCGUGGGGGAGC